CGACCGGCGCACGGGUGAGUAACACGUAUCCAACCUGCCGUCUACUCUUGGACAGCCUUCUGAAAGGAAGAUUAAUACAAGAUGGCAUCAUGAGUCCGCAUGUUCACAUGAUUAAAGGUAUUCCGGUAGACGAUGGGGAUGCGUUCCAUUAGAUAGUAGGCGGGGUAACGGCCCACCUAGUCUUCGAUGGAUAGGGGUUCUGAGAGGAAGGUCCCCCACAUUGGAACUGAGACACGGUCCAAACUCCUACGGGAGGCAGCAG
Molecule: ribosomal RNA, 262 nt
Filed under: uncultured bacterium
Lineage: Bacteria
Description: partial 16S ribosomal RNA
Rfam family: Bacterial small subunit ribosomal RNA
Source: RNAcentral